CCCUUAGAUGUCCUGGGCUGCACGCGCGCUACACUGAUGUGUCCAGUAAGCACCUAACCUCUUCCGAAAGGAACGGGUAACCUUUGCAAAUCACAUCGUGAUGGGGAUAGAUUAUUGCAAUUAUUAGUCUUGAACGAGGAAUUCCUAGUAAGCACAAGUCAUCAGCUUGUGUUGAUUACGUCCCUGCCCUUUGUACACACCGCCCGUCGCUCCUACCGAUUGAAUGUUCCGGUGAGCUCUUCGGACUGCGCGGUCUGCAGUUUCUGCGUUCCGUGCGGAAAGUUGCGCAAACCUUAACAUUUAGAGGAAGGAGAAGUCGUAACA
This 324-nucleotide ribosomal RNA is filed under the name uncultured eukaryote. RNAcentral's name for it is "partial 18S ribosomal RNA". It matches the Rfam family "Eukaryotic small subunit ribosomal RNA", at positions 1470 to 1796 of the family's 1831-position model. The record is from RNAcentral.